RNAcentral lists this ribosomal RNA (421 nucleotides) under uncultured bacterium. Its description in RNAcentral is "bacterial SSU rRNA". It matches the Rfam family "Bacterial small subunit ribosomal RNA", at positions 358 to 771 of the family's 1533-position model. The record is from RNAcentral.
GGAAUCUUCCACAAUGGACGCAAGUCUGAUGGAGCAACGCCGCGUGAGUGAAGAAGGUCUUCGGAUCGUAAAGCUCUGUUGCUGGUGAAGAAGGAUAGAGGCAGUAACUGGUCUUUAUUUGACGGUAAUCAACCAGAAAGUCACGGCUAACUACGUGCCAGCAGCCGCGGUAAUACGUAGGUGGCAAGCGUUGUCCGGAUUUAUUGGGCGUAAAGCGAGCGCAGGCGGAAUGAUAAGUCUGAUGUGAAAGCCCACGGCUCAACCGUGGAAAUGCAUCGGAAACUGUCAUUCUUGAGUGCAGAAGAGGAGAGUGGAACUCCAUGUGUAGCGGUGGAAUGCGUGGAUAUAUGGAAGAACACCAGUGGCGAAGGCGGCUCUCUGGUCUGCAACUGUCGCUGAGGCUCGAAAGCAUGGGUAGCGA